UACGUAGGGAGCAAGCGUUGUCCGGAAUCAUUGGGCGUAAAGCGUGCGCAGGCGGUUUCUUAAGUCAGAUGUGAAAGCCCCGGGCUUAACCUGGGAACUGCGUUUGAAACUGGGAGACUUGAGUGUGGCAGAGGGGGGUGGAAUUCCACGUGUAGCAGUGAAAUGCGUAGAUAUGUGGAGGAACACCGAUGGCGAAGGCAGCCCCCUGGGUUAACACUGACGCUCAUGCACGAAAGCGUGGGGAGCAAACAGG
This 253-nucleotide ribosomal RNA is filed under the name uncultured bacterium. RNAcentral describes it as "partial 16S ribosomal RNA". It matches the Rfam family "Bacterial small subunit ribosomal RNA", at positions 524 to 776 of the family's 1533-position model. The record is from RNAcentral.